ACUCCUACGGGAGGCAGCAGUGGGGAAUAUUGCACAAUGGGGAAGCCCUGAUGCAGCCAUGCCGCGUGUGUGAAGAAGGCCUCGGUUGUAAAGCACUUCAGUAGGGAGGAAGGUAGUGUAGUUAACACCUGCACUAUUUGACGUUACCUACAGAAGAAGCACCGGCUAACUCCGUGCCAGCAGCCGCGGUAAUACGGAGGGUGCGAGCGUUAAUCGGAAUUACUGGGCGUAAAGCGCAUGCAGGCGGCCUGUUAAGUCAGAUGUGAAAGCCCGGGGGCUUAACCUCGGAAUUGCAUUUGAAACUGGCAGGCUAGAGUCUUGUAGAGGGGGUAGAAUUUCAGGUGUAGCGGUGAAAUGCGUAGAGAUCUGAAGGAAUACCAGUGGCGAAGGCGGCCCCCUGGACAAAGACUGACGCUCAGAUGCGAAAGCUGGGGAGCAAACAGGAUUAGAUACCCUGGUAGCACAGAG
This 468-nucleotide ribosomal RNA is filed under the name uncultured bacterium. RNAcentral describes it as "bacterial SSU rRNA". It matches the Rfam family "Bacterial small subunit ribosomal RNA", at positions 335 to 799 of the family's 1533-position model. The record is from RNAcentral.